CUACAAUAUGUGUCUGCCUUCUCUCACUCACUGUAAUGUGUUUUGAGAUUCAUCCUGCUGUUGUGUGUUAAUGCCGAUUCGAUCAACUGGAAGAAAGUGUAUCAGUGAUGGAAGAUCAAAUGGAUGAAAUGAAGCGAGAAGGGAAGUUUAGCGAAAAAAGAUAAAAAGAAAUGAACAAAGCCUCCAGGAAAUAUAGGACUAUGUGAAAAGACCAAAUCUACUUCUGAUUGGUGUACCUGAAAGUGACGAGGAGAAUGGAACCAAGUUGGAAAACACUCUGCAGGAUAUUAUACAGGAGAACUUCCCCAAUCUAGCAAGGCAGGCCAACAUUAAAAUUCAGGAAAUACAGAGAACGCCACAAAGAUACUCCUUGAGAAGAACAACUCCAAGAC
This 392-nucleotide long non-coding RNA is filed under the name Homo sapiens (human). RNAcentral's name for it is "HSALNT0312886". Lineage: Eukaryota; Metazoa; Chordata; Mammalia; Primates; Hominidae. The record is from RNAcentral.